CACCGUCUUCUUCGAUUCUUCAAACUGUCGCCAUGUUCUUUGUUUAUGCAAUUUCAUUCCGAUUUCAUUCAAUGUUUUCUGCACUUUCUUUUGUUUUUCUCGGAGAUCGCCUUUUUUAUUAGAACUGCGGCAGUGAAUUGUAAUGACAUUUUUUGUUGGUGGCGUUGCUAUUCCAAAGUAUAUCAUGACCCUCACGGCUGUGACUGGAUGUGCUGGGUGUUUAUGCUAUUGCUACUCACAUGAAAUGAAUUCAAAGUAUGGUGUGAAACUUCCGGAUAGGUUGACGAGGCUUAUGACUGGAACUGGGACGUUGGUGGCUGGAUUCACAGUUUGUGACAUUUAUGGCAUAAAUAUGUGCCUUGAGAGGGUGAGAGACAUGGAUAAGAAGGAGUUUGCAAAGAUGAAAGCUGGGAAGUUUCCAAAGUGGUUUAUAGCAUCUAUCGCUGGACCAAUGAUUUUGGGGGCUGGUGCAGGCGCAAUGGCGACGGCAACGGGCUAUGAAAUGUACUCAUUUCAUAAGGACUUUAUGAAGAAUAGAGCCAUGGAGGGCUACUCUGCCAAUCCCUAUGUUUUGACACCGGUAAUCAUGGCCCCGAGAGAUAGCACAGACAAAAGAGAUUGGGAACGAGUAAAGUGAACCAGCAAGAUAUUUUGGAUUUUGAGAUUAGAGGACGUCAUAGGUCACUAGCCCGCCUUUAGUGUUUGGAAAAUCGGGAUUGAAAAGAAGACGAGUGGCAUGGAUGGAAAAGAUGGCAGCUCUUUGAAAGCAAUGUUAGGUUUAUUCUCUUAGUAAAAGAAGACACUGUCGUGUUUUGUUUGCAUUAUUGUUCGGUAUUUUGUAGUGAAUUUUAAUCAACGGAUAAGACACACUGCAUCUUUGUUUUGUUUUGCUACUCGUGCUUGUGAUUGACAACGGGAAAUUAUGGAAAAUUGUCUCCAUUUGUCGUAA
Non-coding RNA from Salvia hispanica, 949 nucleotides. Lineage: Eukaryota; Viridiplantae; Streptophyta; Magnoliopsida; Lamiales; Lamiaceae. The record is from RefSeq and is a predicted model, not a curated record.